GGGCCAAUGAUGAUAACUUUUUCAGACAUACCAUCUUUCGGGACUGAUUGGUAUUUCAGUGCCAUGCUGUUAUUCUGUGAUUCUGAGGUCU
This 91-nucleotide small nucleolar RNA is filed under the name Ananas comosus (pineapple). RNAcentral's name for it is "Small nucleolar RNA SNORD96 family". It matches the Rfam family "Small nucleolar RNA SNORD96 family". Rfam says of the family: snoRNA Z37 is a member of the C/D class of snoRNA which contain the C (UGAUGA) and D (CUGA) box motifs. Z37 acts as a methylation guide for 5.8S ribosomal RNA. Lineage: Eukaryota; Viridiplantae; Streptophyta; Magnoliopsida; Poales; Bromeliaceae. The record is from Rfam by way of RNAcentral.